UUCCAAGCGAUUUAAGCUUCAUUCCCUAGCUAAAAACACUAGGAAAAUGAAGCCACAAUCCCUCUUUUCAUUUUCACUUCUCAUUCUCUUUUUCCACUCCAAAACUUUUGCCCAAUCACCAGCUGCUGCUCCAGUACAAGCACCACCAGUAGCCCCGGUAAAGGCACCACCUGCACCCCCAGCACAAUCACCAUCCGGAGUACAAGUAGCCGCAUCACCUGGCCCCCUUGACGUUGUUAAGAUUCUUGGAAAGGCUAGCCACUUCACUGUGUUCGUCCGCUUAUUGAAAUCUACCCAAGUUGAUACAGAGUUAUUCUUGCAGCUCAACAACACCAACAAUGGAGCAACCAUCUUCGCACCAAGUGAUGGUGCAUUUUCAGGCCUCAAAGGAGGCACCCUCAAUUCCCUAACCGAUGGAGACAAGAUAGAGUUAGUGAAGUUUCACAUAGUACCUACGUUCAUAUCAACUUCCCAAUUCCAGACUG
RNAcentral lists this unclassified non-coding RNA (485 nucleotides) under Hevea brasiliensis (rubber tree). Lineage: Eukaryota; Viridiplantae; Streptophyta; Magnoliopsida; Malpighiales; Euphorbiaceae. The record is from RNAcentral.